ACGACGCUGGCGGCGUGCCUAAUACAUGCAAGUCGAACGGUCUUUCUAUGGAAGCUUGCUUCCACUGAGAAGAUAGUGGCGAACGGGUGAGUAACACGUGGGUAACCUGCCCAUAAGAGGGGGAUAACAUCCGGAAACGGGUGCUAAUACCGCAUAGUUUUCUUGAUCGCAUGAUUGAGAAAGGAAAGACGGCCUUUGUGCUGUCGCUUAUGGAUGGACCCGCGGCGUAUUAGUUAGUUGGUGAGGUAACGGCUCACCAAGACGAUGAUACGUAGCCGACCUGAGAGGGUGAUCGGCCACAUUGGGACUGAGACACGGCCCAAACUCCUACGGGAGGCAGCAGUAGGGAAUCUUCCGCAAUGGACGAAAGUCUGACGGAGCAACGCCGCGUGAGUGAAGAAAAGGUUUUCGGAUCGUAAAACUCUGUUGUCAGAGAAGAACAAGUUGGAGAGUAACUGCUCCAGCCUUGACGGUAUCUGACCAGAAAGCCACGGCUAACUACGUGCCAGCAGCGGC
This 516-nucleotide ribosomal RNA is filed under the name uncultured bacterium. Its description in RNAcentral is "bacterial SSU rRNA". It matches the Rfam family "Bacterial small subunit ribosomal RNA", at positions 32 to 518 of the family's 1533-position model. The record is from RNAcentral.